GAAAUGCGAUAAGUAAUGUGAAUUGCAGAAUUCAGUGAAUCAUCGAAUCUUUGAACGCACAUUGCGCCCGCCAGUAUUCUGGCGGGCAUGCCUGUUCGAGCGUCAUUUCAACCCUCAGGCCCCCAGUGCCUGGCGUUGGGGAUCGGCCGCUGGCGUCCUUCGGGGCGCCUGGCCGGCCCCGAAAUCUAGUGGCGGUCUCGCUGUAGUCCUCCUCUGCGUAGUAGCACAACCUCGCAGUUGGAACGCGGCGGUGGCCAUGCCGUUAAACACCCCACUUCUGAAAGUUGACCUCGGAUCAGGUAGGAAUACCCGCUGAACUUAA
RNAcentral lists this unclassified non-coding RNA (322 nucleotides) under uncultured Myrothecium. RNAcentral describes it as "sequence contains ITS1". The stretch from base 1 to 105 matches the Rfam family "5.8S ribosomal RNA", at positions 50 to 154 of the family's 154-position model. The record is from RNAcentral. Lineage: Eukaryota; Fungi; Ascomycota; Sordariomycetes; Hypocreales.